This is a long non-coding RNA of Drosophila nasuta, 808 nucleotides long. RefSeq lists it as uncharacterized. The record is from RefSeq and is a predicted model, not a curated record. The transcript has 2 exons. NCBI's taxonomy places the organism in Eukaryota, Metazoa, Arthropoda, Insecta, Diptera, Drosophilidae.
CAAGGAGAGCAAGAGAGAGCGAAGUCGCAUCGCUGUGUUGUCAAAGAGCGAGCAGGCAUAUCCAUUCACCCGAUAGUAAAAACAAAUUAUGAAUGAAUAUUUUAUUUAUUUAUUAUUGCCAUAAAAAUAUGAUGAAUAUGUCGGUCAACAACAUGAUGUCCAUAAGAAUUUUGUUGUUGUGGUCUAGCUUUUAGUUUCUGGGUGCUUGGCGUGAAAAUUGCUAAAGCGUCAGCACUGUUCGGCGUUCGAUUUUGUUGUUGGGCUUGAGCUGCUGUCACAAUUGAGAAACAACAACAAUCACGAUGGACGAUGUGCGGCGGCCGCACAGUGGUAUCCAAUCGAUCAGUUUGAACAAUUUAGUGAAAUACAUUUGGAAAAUUCUUAUAAUACUUUAUUAACAGUAUUGCUACCUCUUGCAUGGCUUAAUAUACAUAACUUAUAACUAUAUAAUGUGGUAUCAGUUAAGCACUCUUGCGCGUAAUUCUAGAUGUUUGUAAAGAAUUGCUUUGUCUAUUAAGCUUGAAGAGCAGAUAAAUAUAGAUAUAUGUAUAUUGAACGCCUAAUGUGUGCAAGCAAUUUUUGUUAAGUCUUAAUAUUGUAUACAUUUAGGUUCAAGAUGAGUAACUAUAUAUAUAUAUAUGUAUAUGAUGUAUGUAUUUUAAGUGUGUCACGAGGUCUAUUAUUACAGAUUUAUUUCGAACACAUUCAUUCAACAAUUUUGAUUGCGCAUUUAUAAAAUAAUCGUUGCAAUAUACGACUCAAAUAUAAAGUUCAAUCAAAACGACUGAGAGAGAGAACAACUACUAUU